RNAcentral lists this long non-coding RNA (211 nucleotides) under Citrus x clementina. Its description in RNAcentral is "Citrus clementina (C. clementina) long non-coding RNA (CCLE_LNC001255)". The record is from RNAcentral. Lineage: Eukaryota; Viridiplantae; Streptophyta; Magnoliopsida; Sapindales; Rutaceae.
AAAAAUCUCUGAAAAUAUCCUCCCAUGAAAAUUUUUACCAUCCCUAAUUUUGACAACUUGAUUAUGGUUAGAGAUGAAUUUGGGCAAAAAAACGAAACUACUAGGUCUGGCUGUGAACCGGUUGGGUGAAAAAUCGGAGCCUGGCACACAUGAAGUUGUGCUACAGUAUACAAGUUCCAAAGCCAGUUGCGUGUGUGCAUUUUAAUAGUUU